This is a small nuclear RNA of Colobus angolensis palliatus, 80 nucleotides long. Lineage: Eukaryota; Metazoa; Chordata; Mammalia; Primates; Cercopithecidae. The record is from Ensembl.
GUAUUGUAUGAAAGGAAAGAAGGUUAACAUUCCCCUUGACAAGAGGAACAGAAAAUCAAAUACUGUGUGUCCUCACUUAU